RNAcentral lists this long non-coding RNA (4602 nucleotides) under Gossypium barbadense (sea-island cotton). Its description in RNAcentral is "long non-coding RNA (GBAR_LNC008399)". The record is from RNAcentral. Lineage: Eukaryota; Viridiplantae; Streptophyta; Magnoliopsida; Malvales; Malvaceae.
GUGGAUGCAUAUGAUUCAGCCAUGUUACUGAGAUUUGGUUCUCUUGAGCUGUACCUGUCUUCACAUGUAAAAGUUAAAUUGAGGAUCUACUGUGGUUGCCAGAUAUCAAGAAGACUGUAACUAGCAGGUAAUAAACAUGCAUCAUUAUCUUAAGACUACAUAAUUUCAUACAUUUUUUUGAACUUGCUUAGAGGUCUCAUAUAAAAGCCAUGAGUUCCCUGAACUACAUGUGCAUAAGAAAGGGCAACCUCAUUUGUUUCCCUCAAUGAGUUUACAUGUUUUGCAUGAGAAGUUGGUUCUAGGAACUUAAGAUACUUAUAUUGUAGUUAGAUAUCUUUUUGUGGCUGAGAUUUGAGUCUUCUUCAUUAUUCAGUUAAACUCACUGAUCUAAAAGUUGCUUUUCGAAGUCAUUUUGUAACUUAUGUUACUUCUAAACUUAAUGUUGGUUGCUUUAUCAUCUACUCCCUCGUUGACUUUCUAAAGUCUACUGUCAAGGCCCCUUAACACAUUUUUCCUUUAGUUCUUUUCAUGAUUCUUCAGCUUUAUACUGAUAAGUGAAUUAACUGAUAUAUAUAUAUAUAUGUAUGAUUAUUUAGGGGGGACUAAGACAAAUAUUUAAUUUUGAAGGCCACCUGGUAUAUGUAUAGUCAGAUUGUGAAAAAUAUCUUAAUAUCAUUGAUUUCCAUAUUUGGCAGUUACCUUUAAUCUUAUUAUUUCUUCUCUAAUUUUUUUGGACUGUACUAGGUUCUCUCAUGUCCUCAGAUCAUAACUGGUUUCUUGCAAGAACUACAAUGGCCGUUCCUUAGAGUUAGAGGGAUAUUCAAUAGAAUUUAGACAUAUACUCUGAUGUGGCUUGGAAUGAGAUUGUUAUUGAUAUCAAUAACUAGAUGUCUGAAAAAACAGUGUUAUUUGAACUUAGGGUUAGUUUUGUUUAUGGUUAUGUUUCCAACAUGGAUAUGUUCAGAUUCUUAAAUGUUUUUUUUCCAAGAUAGAUGAAUAUAUGACAAAUGCAGGUACUUCAAGAAAAAUGAAGAACUGGAGUCACAUAGCCAAAGAAAAGAAAAAAAAAAAAGAAAAAGCUAUUUGGGGACCAUUCAACUUAACCUUAUAAAUAACUAAUAUGUUUAAAGUUACCAUUCAAGGAAGAUUAUCUAUCAAGCUAUUGAUUUUUUUCCAUUAUUAAAGGAAGAAGAGAAGAUUGCUGGUACUUUUUUUUGGAGAAUCUCAUGGAUUCUUUAGGUGCAAAUAUUGUAGUGCCGUAAACCUAUAAUUGUUUCAAAUUUGUAGGGAUAGACUGAUAUUUUGAGAUAGGAUCCUGAUUUCUUUCCUAGAAUAACUAUUGUAUCAUUUGGAAUAAGAAACAAUAAAUAUUUAUGUUAUCGGAGCUAGGUAUUCCUAAAAUCUUCUCUCCAUUCAUUUACAGCCUUUUGUUGAAACCUUAGUCUAAGAAAACUUAUCAACCUUCAUUGUUGAAACCUUAGUUCAAAAACCUAUCUUCCUUCAUUGCUGAAUAUCACCUUGAAAAUGGCUAGAAUCUGAAAUAAUUCCUCAAACACUUACUGAAAUAGUCAAUCAAAUGGGGGACUACAGAAUUUGAACCCUGCUUAUCAUCUCAAUUGAAGAAACUAUCUGCAGUGGUUACAAAUUGUCAAUGGAAUCUAUGUCAUUAGUCUGCUCCAACCAUAAUUGAUCCCAAGUUCAGUGCAUGGGUUGAAGAAGAUUCCUUGAUUAUAUGGUGGCUUUUGAUUUCUAUAGAUUCUAAACUAGGUGGACCUUUUAUGUUCCUUUCAACUACUCGAGAAAUAUGGGAGGCAAUAGGUCAAUCUUAUUCCAAGAUCAAUGAUGUAGCCCUUAUUUUUUGAGAUCAAAACCAAAAUAUCAGCCACUAGGCGAGGUACAUUCUUCAGCUGUAAAUAUAGUAGUGCUGUAGAUCCAUAAUUGUUCCAGAUUUGUAGGGAUAGACUGAUUUCUAGGGAUAAACUGAUUCUUUGGGAUAGGAUCCUGAUUUCUUUCCUAGAGUAACUAUUGUAUCUUUGUAUAAAUAGAGGUACAAAGCUGUCAUUUGGAUAAGAAAUAGCAAAGGUUUCUUCACUUUUUAAUACUACUUGACUUACCUGAAUGGUUUGGUAUUCGAUACUCAAAAACUGAUCCGGUGGAUGUAGUUAGAAACAAUGAGAUGAAUGUUUCAUUUGGUUCAUCUUCCAGCAAGGGAGUAAUAGAUGUCAGGUGAUGAUCUUCUGGACUUUCAUGAUUUAUCCAUUUCCUUUUCCGUUGAUAUAGUCGUCUCUCUACCAACUUACCUCCCUAUAUAUCAAAGGAAGUCCAUUAGACAUGACAUUAAAUUUAGGAUAAUAGGAUAUGUAUGCAUUGUGUUAUUAGUUUGUAAUGCAGAGUACCUUUGUUAGGAGAAACAAGGAUAUAGAGUGAUCUCCAAUCAAGCCAUGUACGGUGCACCCCAUGAGUGGUAUUAGAGAACCCUCUUUUGAUGCAUCUACACUCUUUAGAUGCUUUUUCCAUGAUGGCCUUGAGUUCUUAUCAUAUUCAUAGAGAUCACCUGCAGAACUAUUGCACCAUUUCAUGUUUAACUAACUUUGGUGAAUCUUAAAAGUGAAAUAAACAACAGGUUAUAGUUUAUACUCUGAUAGCAACAUGCAUAGACAUUUGUGGCAUUCACACAUAACUCUUUCUUUUAUACCUUAGGAUCUUGUUUUGGAGAAGCAUUUUAUUUUAUUGUGCAUUCAUUUCUCCAUUUGACAAUGCUUUAUAAUUUGGUUAAAAAAUAGUCAGAAGUUAAUGGCAAAAUAACAUUUGUGAAAAAUAGUGGAAUGUUCCACAAAAUAUUUUAGCUUUUGACUAUCUUUGAGUCAAAUUUGAAAUAGCAGUAAAAUUGCACCUGCACCUGUUCAAAGUUGAGCUGUAAAUUUGAUCCAUCAUCUUAAGUAGAGUAGGAAUAUUGAACCUUAUACCAAAACUAAUAACAUAUGCCUUGUUAGACUAAAGAUUUUCAAUAUCUCUUUGCUGGAUAAAAAGUAAGACUAGAGUAUUUUGGAUGUUUCUGUACAUCUGGAGAGAAAGGGAGAGCACCUUAUUGUAUAUACAACUUCUGCUCUAAUUCUAGCUGCAUCAGCAAUUGCUGCGACAUCUGCUCCUGGUGGCCGGCCAUGAUUCUCCCACCUGCUCUAUAUUUACAAUUACAACACAUAAGCCAUACUGUAUAUUAGAGUCUGCUAUUGAAAUCUGAAUCUCAUUUAUAGACUGGCAUAUAAGAAUUGAGUCAUCAAUGGUCGCAACGAAUGAAGUUCUCUAUUUGCUUUAAGACUUUGAAAGGAAAAGGUUUCUACCUUGGAGGUUCAACCUCGCUGAGUUCUAGCAACAAGCCGUUCUUUGUGCAGAAAUAAACUCUCCUACAUUGAGUUCAGAAAAAACAACGAAACUGUUAGUAGUGGGAAAUUGCUUACAUAAUGCAAUGAAAUUUGAUCACGCCCCUCUAUCAUGUGUUAUUCCCUGAAACAAAAUUCUUGAUGUUGAAUUAAUGUACUUACUGUCCAUCAUAUGAAACAGUACUGGACUUUAUUUGAAUCACUGAACUCUGUUCUGCUUCUUCAUUUGUACUUUGAUUGAAUGCAGGUUUGAACUCCACCCAUAUUGGUUGCGAGUUGUCACCGAGUUGCAUCUGAAAAAAGGAAGAUAAAUCAGCCUAUAAUAACAAGGAACCCUUGUGGUCACAAUACAAGUACGUGCCUUUUGCAAGAUUUUAUGUGUUAUAUUAUUCUGGCUACGGAUUCAAAAAGUUGAGGAUGGGGUUUUAAAGUAUUCUAACCUAAAAUAAUAGAAGUGGACAAUUUACUCUGAAAUCGUUUGUUUUCAGGAUUUUAAGAAGUGAGCUUUUUUGGGUUUGGUAUGUUGGUUAAUUUUCAGACAUGUUAGACUGAAACUUUGCUCCUUUCUGUUUCAGUAAAUUGAUUAUCAUUUGAGCUACAGAAGUCCAAUUGAGGCGAUUCAAGAUGUGUUGAGAAGCAAAUUGAAAGAGCUACAAGUUGAAAAAGGCAACUUAGGCUAACUCCACUUGGAUCAAACACAAGAUCAUGUCAAAAUUCAUGUGCUGUUUUUGGUCGAGGUUUUGAGUUCAUUAGGGAAUAUGAAUUCAUGUAAAAUUUACCCCCCACCCAUGCACGCAUCACACUAUCCCUCUCUCCUCCCUUUCGUGUCCAACCAUACUGUUGAAGUAUGUGUUCUGUAUUGGUGUCAGCCUUGUUACCUGUUAGCUAUGAUUGAAAUCUAUCUUUAUACCGGUGGAGUUGUGCCUGAGGCUCUCCAUUAAUGUUUUACAUAUUUCAGAAAUACCGUUGGCCCAUUGGAUUCCUUUCCUACUUCUCUUUGUUCCAAAAUAAUUGAAAUUUGGCUUCAUGGUUUUCUAUAUAUGCAUGAUCAUCAAAGUCGUUCUAUGUGCAUGCUAUAUUUCUAUUCUGUAGCUCUUAUGGACAUUAAAAUACUCAUCAGAAGAUUGUAUAAACUUUCUAAUAACUGGCACAUACAUGGGAGAGAAAAUGAUCCAAAUAUAGUUUAGUUGAAGUUUACUUUAUUCGUUACCAUAGGAAGAAA